Molecule: unclassified non-coding RNA, 329 nt
Filed under: soil metagenome
Description: partial contains 5.8S ribosomal RNA, internal transcribed spacer 2, and large subunit ribosomal RNA
Rfam family: 5.8S ribosomal RNA (bases 1-120)
Source: RNAcentral
GAUGAAGAACGUAGCGAAAUGCGAUAAGUAGUGUGAAUUGCAGAAUUCAGUGAAUCAUCGAAUCUUUGAACGCACAUUGCGCCCCUUGGUAUUCCAUGGGGCAUGCCUGUUCGAGCGUCAUUUGUACCCUCAAGCUUUGCUUGGUGUUGGGCGUCUUGUCGUAUUACGACUCGCCUUAAAUACAUUGGCAGCCGGCACUUUGGCCUAGGAGCGCAGCACAUUUUGCGAUCGUAGCCCGUUGUACUGGCGUCCAUCAAGAACAUUUACCACGUUGACCUCGGAUCAGGUAGGGAUACCCGCUGAACUUAAGCAUAUCAAUAAGCGGAGGA